This is a non-coding RNA of Pseudomonas sp., 87 nucleotides long. Lineage: Bacteria; Pseudomonadati; Pseudomonadota; Gammaproteobacteria; Pseudomonadales; Pseudomonadaceae. The record is from Rfam.
CGCUAUGGCAGCUGUACGUGGGGCACAUUCGUGUGCGCCGGGUCCCUAAGUCCCUGGUCUGUCAACCCGCGUACAGCUGCCACCCAU